CCUUUGUGGUUUUCUACCCAGUAAAAACGUAGUUGUAAUCCCUAAUUUUAUUCCCCAGAGAGUUAAUCCUUGAUAUGUUCAUCCUAACCGAUGAUAAAUUUUCUUCUCUUUGUGAUCUUCUGCCCAGUAACCGGUAGUUGAAAAUCCUGCUUUCCCCUGCUGAGCCUAUCCUUGAUAUGUUCACUUUAACCGGUGACAAAUAUUCUCUC
RNAcentral lists this long non-coding RNA (209 nucleotides) under Lathyrus oleraceus (garden pea). RNAcentral describes it as "Pisum sativum (pea) long non-coding RNA (PSAT_LNC008814)". Lineage: Eukaryota; Viridiplantae; Streptophyta; Magnoliopsida; Fabales; Fabaceae. The record is from RNAcentral.